GGAAGGAUCAUUAACGAAAAACACGCGUUUAACGGCGCGAUGUUGAACUGGCGGCUGUCUUCGGACGGCGCGCUAAAAGGGAAAAGCUGUCGCUCGCAGAGUCGCUCCGGCGGCGUCUCGAGCUGUCUUACUAAGGUGGCAUUGAUGAAUCCCCGUCGAUCUCCGUCAGCGAAACUUCGGUUUCAGGCGGAGGGAGGGAGGGUGGCAGAGCGAAACGAUGUCUCUCGCCGGACGGUCUCUGACCGGAUCCGGGAGAGUCGACAGCCUUCGUUCUCGGUUCUGUCGCUCGGUGUACGACGGUCGCAAACGAUCGCAUCUCGGUCGGUGUCUACUGUGCCCAUGCCCAACCAAACGGGCGUUCGGGUCGCUGUAACGGCAGGCGUAAAGACCGCGAAAGCGGCUACCACCGGCGGUGCGUAAUGCACGUACACCAACUGUUCUUACUGAAAGUGACUUCGGUCACAAAUAGCGAUCAGCUUAAGCGGGAGACCGCCGAAAGCGACGCGACAAACAAGUAUGUCGCUGGCGAGCGGUGCAUUUCUCCAGUUCCGCGCGAAAGACGUGACCGAUCGGAAGGCUACGGCAGCCGUUGAGGGAGUCGGCCGAAGGUAACCAGCGUCGCCUUGUGUGGCGCAGGUGUUAUAGCGGCCGUCGCUCGGAGUUGCCGUAAGUGUACCGAUCGGCGAGUAAGUUCUUCGCCUCGUGCGGAGUCUGCAAGCAACGCCCGCCGUCGGCGGUUGGCGAACGCUUGGUCGCGACUGGUUGUCCGUUGGGCACCUUGCGUGUCGAACGGCGGCUGUUGCGGUCGGCGUAGUCAGUCGGCCGCCGUGCGGCGGGUGGCAAUCGACGUCUAGUAGGUCGGUAUCCACCUGACCCGUCUUGAAACACGGACCAAGGAGUCUAACACGUGCGCGAGUCGCUCAGUCUUGAAUAGGCUCGAGAGGCGAACUGAAAGGAAAGUUGAUUGAGUUACGAUCCUCGUCGCUUCGGCGGCGGGGCGCAGUAACGGCCCUCCCGUUCCUCUUGUCGUGGGUGGGGAGGCGUUGGAGCGCACGCGUUGGUACCCGAAAGAUGGUGAACUAUUCCUGGGCAAGACGAAGCCAGAGGAAACUCUGGUGGAGGUCUGUAGCGAUUCUGACGUGCAAAUCGAUCGUCAGACCUGGGUAUAGGGGCGAAAGACUAAUCGAACCAUCUAGUAGCUGGUUCCCUC
RNAcentral lists this unclassified non-coding RNA (1210 nucleotides) under uncultured fungus. RNAcentral describes it as "sequence contains 18S rRNA gene, ITS1, 5.8S rRNA gene, ITS2, 28S rRNA gene". The stretch from base 739 to 1210 matches the Rfam family "Eukaryotic large subunit ribosomal RNA", at positions 1 to 961 of the family's 3401-position model. Lineage: Eukaryota; Fungi. The record is from RNAcentral.